UACAGAGGGGGCAAGCGUUAUUCGGAAUUAUUGGGCGUAAAGGGCGCGUAGGCGGCUUUUCAAGUGACGGGUGAAAUCCCUCGGCUUAACCGAGGAACUGCCUGUCAGACUGGAAGGCUUGAGACCGGGAGAGGUGAGUGGGAUUCCCAGUGUAGCGGUGAAAUGCGUAGAUAUUGGGAGGAACACCAGUGGCGAAGGCGGCUCACUGGACCGGAACUGACGCUGAGGCGCGAAAGCGUGGGGAGCAAACAGG
This 253-nucleotide ribosomal RNA is filed under the name uncultured bacterium. Its description in RNAcentral is "partial 16S ribosomal RNA". It matches the Rfam family "Bacterial small subunit ribosomal RNA", at positions 524 to 776 of the family's 1533-position model. The record is from RNAcentral.